GGUUUUUUGAAUUUAACUAAAAAAUCAGGCCUGCCCACUGAUAAAUGGCUGCAGUAUUUUGACUGUACAAAGGUAGCAUAAUCAUUAGUCUUUUAAUUAAGGACUGGUAUGAAAGGUUAGACGGAGGUAGACUGUCUCUAAUAUAACAAUAAAUUUUAUUUUUAAGGAAAAGAGCUUAAAUUUAUUAAAGGGACGAGAAGACCCUAUUAAAUUUAAUAUAAUAAAUUAUUUUUAAUUAAAUAAAAAAAAUAAUUGUUUGUUAAUUUUACUGGGGCGGUGUGUUUAUAACUUUAUUAUAAUUUAAUAUGUUAAAUAACGAUAUUUUGAUCCGAGAGGAUUGAUAUUAGAUAAAAUUACUAUAGGGAUAACAGCGUGAUAUUUUUUGAGAGUUCUUAUUGACAAGAAUGUUUGCGACCUCGAUGUUGGAUUAAGAAGUCUAAUUGAUGCAGUAGUUUUUAAAGAGGGUCUGUUCGACCUUUAAAUUCUU
Molecule: ribosomal RNA, 487 nt
Filed under: Thyropygus allevatus
Lineage: Eukaryota; Metazoa; Arthropoda; Diplopoda; Spirostreptida; Harpagophoridae
Description: partial 16S ribosomal RNA
Rfam family: Bacterial large subunit ribosomal RNA
Source: RNAcentral